GCUGGGCGUGGUGGCACACACCUGCAAUCCCAGCAGCUCGGGAGGCUGAGACAGGAGGAUCAUGAAUUCAAAGCCAGCCUCAGCAAUGGCGACGCACUAAGCAACUAAGUGAGACCCUGUCUCUA
Molecule: small RNA, 125 nt
Filed under: Marmota monax (woodchuck)
Lineage: Eukaryota; Metazoa; Chordata; Mammalia; Rodentia; Sciuridae
Source: RNAcentral